This 337-nucleotide ribosomal RNA is filed under the name Staphylococcus aureus. Its description in RNAcentral is "partial 23S ribosomal RNA". It matches the Rfam family "Bacterial large subunit ribosomal RNA", at positions 2586 to 2925 of the family's 2925-position model. Lineage: Bacteria; Bacillati; Bacillota; Bacilli; Caryophanales; Staphylococcaceae. The record is from RNAcentral.
CAUUAAAGCGGUACGCGAGCUGGGUUCAGAACGUCGUGAGACAGUUCGGUCCCUAUCCGUCGUGGGCGUAGGAAAUUUGAGAGGAGCUGUCCUUAGUACGAGAGGACCGGGAUGGACAUACCUCUGGUGUACCAGUUGUCGUGCCAACGGCAUAGCUGGGUAGCUAUGUGUGGACGGGAUAAGUGCUGAAAGCAUCUAAGCAUGAAGCCCCCCUCAAGAUGAGAUUUCCCAACUUCGGUUAUAAGAUCCCUCAAAGAUGAUGAGGUUAAUAGGUUCGAGGUGGAAGCAUGGUGACAUGUGGAGCUGACGAAUACUAAUCGAUCGAAGACUUAAUCAA